Molecule: ribosomal RNA, 253 nt
Filed under: uncultured bacterium
Lineage: Bacteria
Description: partial 16S ribosomal RNA
Rfam family: Bacterial small subunit ribosomal RNA
Source: RNAcentral
UACGUAGGUGGCAAGCGUUGUCCGGAAUUAUUGGGCGUAAAGCGCGCGCAGGCGGUCCUUUAAGUCUGAUGUGAAAGCCCACGGCUCAACCGUGGAGGGUCAUUGGAAACUGGGGGACUUGAGUACAGAAGAGAAGAGUGGAAUUCCACGUGUAGCGGUGAAAUGCGUAGAGAUGUGGAGGAACACCAGUGGCGAAGGCGGGUCUCUGGGCAGUAACUGACGCUGAGGAGCGAAAGCGUGGGGAGCGAACAGG